Dama dama (fallow deer) is the source of this 535-nucleotide long non-coding RNA. RefSeq lists it as uncharacterized. NCBI's taxonomy places the organism in Eukaryota, Metazoa, Chordata, Mammalia, Artiodactyla, Cervidae. The transcript is spliced from 3 exons. The record is from RefSeq and is a predicted model, not a curated record.
GUUAACAAUGAGAGACAUGAUAUGCAGGAAUGGAAGGAGGGGAAGACUUCAGGAUGUCAUAGCAACUAACUGCCUGCCAGAGUAGCUCCCGAUGCUGACCUGCAAAAAAAUAUUUGGCUCUGUAUAACCUCUUGGCCCACUUAAACCAACGGUGAAACCAGUCGCAGCCACCCCUAAACAAGACUUCAGAAUAAGGCCUUACUUGCUCGGCAAGGCCUGGAGAUAUAGAGAAGGAAACACCCUUACAAAUGGCGAUAUCCCUCACAAACAUAAAUGAGUCUUACAAAAUGACAGCUCCGACCUGGUUUUCAGAGCCCUUCCUAUACCUGCUGUUUCUCAGAAAAGAAGAAGGAGAAGAGGAAGAAGGAGGAAAAGUUAAUUAAUAUGCCAGAGAGAUAUAUUUUACCAUGGGAAAUUCUGCUCCCAUACCUCAUAAAUUCCACUGUGUCAUUCAAUCUAUUUCUUUUUAGUUCUCAUAAAUUAAAUUCCUAUACUCAAUAAUUAUAUAACCACAUACAUUUAAGUGUAUCCAUCA